UUGGAAUUCUCCCCCUGAACCUCUCCUCUGCAUUCCACCCAGCCCUGGGCCCAGGUCUGUGGCCCCUGCCUCCACUGUACCCGGAGCGCCCCAGAACAGAAACAGGUGCUCCCCAAGGGACUGUUACUGAUUAACAUCCCGCUUGGAGGUGGUGUUUCUACAAAAGCGAAGACAGAGACAGGCUUCCCAUAUUUCCCAGCUGCUUUUCCAACCCGGAAUACAACUGGAAUUCCGCUGUGAGAGCUGCUGCUUCUCAACCCCAGGUGUUGUUCUGGAAGGAUCCAGCGCCUCGUGGGAUGGACUUGCUCCAGUGGCUGAGCAGCUCAUGUGAAGAAAGGCGAUGGUGGAUCCCACAGAGGCCCCCUGGAUCCCCAGUCCAGAGCUGGGCACCCCGUGGUGGUGGUGUGGGGGGGGGAAGAGACAGUAAGACCUGCUCCGCUGAUCCGAGCAUAAGGUUUUCUGGAAUGUGAAUCAUACUUGGUCAAGAUCCCAAAAAUAAAAUGCAAAUCUUCCUCUGAUUUAUAGUAGCUGUCUUCACAGGAAACUCAGCGGGAAUGAAAACCCUGGGGGUAACCGGUGUUUUCAUAUGAAAUCAAACACCCGCAGGACUGUGAGGGUCUGGGCUCAGAUGAUUUUUGGCCAGGUUCUUUACCCGUCUGGACUUGCAGUGGAACAUCGGUCAUGUGGGACCCGGGUCACUCCAUCGAGAGGGACAGUCCUGUGCAGUCCAGGAUAUCUGACAUCUCUGACCCUCAUGGGCUAAAUGCCAACCGCAUUUCCUCAAAUCUUUGUGGAAACCAAAGUGCCCCAACAUGUUUCCAGAGUGUUCCUUGGAGCAGCACCUGCUCAGCUGAGAAGGACUACCCGAUGAGGUCAAGGUGAGGGGUGCAGGUGGACUUUUCAGCCUUGACCUUCCCAUCUGCAAUGUCCUGCAGCUGACGGGGGAGGGGCUCCUUCCUGCGGACUGGGGUGGGGGGUGGGGUUCAGCUUUGCCAGAUGUCCGAGAGGGACCAGCGGGCCGAACGCUAUGGAGCGCGGUGUUCACGGAUGGCUUCAGGACUCCACAGAUGUCACUGCGUUGCAUUUGACCCUCUGCGAGGCUCUCACAACGCCUGCCAGGGUUUCAGAAAAGAUCUUUCCAAGGGAAGGCCGCAGAAUGUAUUGGGAAGAGUGUGAGGGCCUCCGCCAGCCAACCCUGGGCCCCCCGCUAUAUUCACUGGGGAAUGCAACUCAGCCGCUCCGUGCUCGCUUCCCCCCCCCCUUUGUAGAACGGAGUCCCUGGCCUAGGACUCAGCAGCACCCAGAGGCAGCAAGGAGCUGGACAUCAAGUGCCAGCCCCCAGAAGUGUGGCUUAGAAGCUCUGUGCCUUUGGCAAGGACAUGAGUUCUGCGCUGUCCCCAGCAGGUCACACUCAGUCCCUACUGCUGUCGCUGGGGCUCCUUCCCAGCUGUGCACCCUGAACUAGCUCCCCACCCUCACUCGGCCUCGGUUUUCCCAUCUAUAAAAUGGGCUCCCAAGGCCGAACUCUUAGCACUGCUGUACCUGCAGCUCAUGGGGUCGUGCAGGUGAAGAGCUUGAUGCCUGGCCCGAUGAGAUAAUGAAUGGUUGUUGCUGUGUGACACUGGGUCAGAAGGGACGUCAGAGGUCACACGGCACCCAGAUUCAGACUUUACAGAGGAGGAAAUGUGAGAGACCACCGUGAGCUGGCUCUGUGUGCACGAAGCUUGGGUAGGUGGGAGGUGCGAUGUGGAAAAGAAAAGGCUUCCCAGCCUCUGACUCCUCCUCCACCCAGUGUCUGGGAGAACAGCUCCCACCGCCCGGGCCCCGGGCCCCUCUCUAUGGGCCGGCAAGGCAGGCACAUGCCGGGAGCGCAUGCUGCUUAGCCCUGCAAGCGGCAGGGACGUCUGUGACAAGCACUCAGCCCGGUGCCUGGCAGGGCGAAUGCGGGCUGCUGUCAGCAGGACUCAUGGCCCUGCCUGGGGCAGGUGGACGGACUGACAGCCUGUCCAGGCUUCCAAGAGCUACGUGCAAGGGUCUGGGUGGAAGCGGUGAUUGGAAGGAACAGUUGCCUAGUUACCAAAAGCUCUUGAGGGAGCUCACCUAGUCGAGAUGCAGCUAUCCUUACAAGAGAAAGGCCUUCCCAAGGCCUUCAGGAGGCCCCAUGAAGACAGAGGCGGGGACUGGGACGUGUGUCUACAAGUCCUGGGACGCCAGGGCCCGCCAGCAGCCACCACAGCUAGGUGACAAGCCCAGAAUGGGUUCUGUCUCUGAGCCUCCUGCGGGAAAAACCCUGCUGACGCCUUAUGCUCCCACUUUGGGCCUCCAAAACUGUGAAAGAAUUUGUUUCUGUGUCUGAAGACACCUCUCAUGUGGUGACUGAUCGCAACGGUUGUAGGAAACGAAUAAGUUAUGUAUUGCCAAUCUCCGGCUGCAUAGCGGGCGCUAGCGUUCCCCCCAGCACUGCGUGCCCAUGGUCUCCCCACCAUCCGCGGGCUGUCCUGGGAAGCUCUCACGGCUUCGCCGACCCGACAGACAGGGAACGGCAUCUCCGUGGAGUUUUAACUUGCAUUCUUUUAAAAUUGGAAGUGAAGUUGAACAUGUUUUCAUAAAUUCCAGCAGUGCAGAUGAGGGCUAUCUGCCCAGGAAUGACCUUGCAAAUAUAUUCUCUCCAGUUUUCAUUCCUGUUGCAAAGUAUGAAUUUUUGACCAGGCAAUUAAAAAACAUACUUCUUAUGUA
This is a long non-coding RNA of Ailuropoda melanoleuca (giant panda), 2736 nucleotides long. RefSeq lists it as uncharacterized. The record is from RefSeq and is a predicted model, not a curated record. The transcript has 2 exons. NCBI's taxonomy places the organism in Eukaryota, Metazoa, Chordata, Mammalia, Carnivora, Ursidae.